Molecule: long non-coding RNA, 724 nt
Organism: Fukomys damarensis (Damara mole-rat)
Lineage: Eukaryota; Metazoa; Chordata; Mammalia; Rodentia; Bathyergidae
Exons: 3
Source: RefSeq, a predicted model, not a curated record
GAUGAGAAAGUACCUAAACAUCUGGGUCGGGGUGGCUUCUGAGGGUCACUUGCUUUCGUGUUUUUACUGGCCUUGGGGUACUUGGCACGGGAGCACUUGUGUUAGCUCGAGAGUGGGGUGUAUGGUUCAAACACCUUGGGUGGAUAAGGCUCAGGCAACUGGAAAGGGCAGGGCUCCAGAACCUGGGCAGGCAGUUGGCGAGGAACUUUGUUACAGCUGCUGUUGUUAUCUCCCUAGAUUGCAGAUAAAAUUUUUUUUAAAAAGAUGAAGUAAUUGAGACUGAGACAAUAUUAGUGAAGGAAAAAAUUAUCCCAAAGGGGAGAAGCACCCUCUCUUAUCACCUCUUCCUCUAGUAUCAGCGGCAACAUGUCCCCACUGAACUUCUUCCCAGGACCGCUCACCCGACAAGGGCCUCCGUAGAACAUGGCUUCCCACAAGGUGGCCCUGCGCUGGACUGUCCCACCGAUGGCUCUGGGGCUGCCCCCCAGGGCCUGCUGCCUGUGUUCUGUCCUUUGAACAUUCUCACGCUGCAUGGAGGCAGGGGACAGGAAAAAUUUUACAGGAGGUUCUGGCUAGAGCUACACACCAUGAAAAAAAUCCAGAAGACUGAAUUAGAAAAUUGUCAUUAUUUGCAGAAAAUGGAAUGAUGCAAGUAAACAACAUCAAGAAGACAGAAAAACACUUAGAAGCAAUAAAGCUUGUAAAAAUCAUAAAAUACCCAAGA